Molecule: long non-coding RNA, 2141 nt
Organism: Sycon ciliatum
Lineage: Eukaryota; Metazoa; Porifera; Calcarea; Leucosolenida; Sycettidae
Exons: 2
Source: RefSeq, a predicted model, not a curated record
CGAUCGAGUGUGAAGUUUUUUUUGUGAUCUCAAUGAAAAAAGAUUUUUUUGAACUCACGCUGUACACAACAAGCUCUCUGAUCUGCAUGUCUUUUUCGGUGGAGGUGAUUUUUGUUGUUGUUAUUGUUGUGGCUGGCGACGAGAAGGCUCUCAUUUACGCUAGGUAUCUCAUAGACAGAAUGAGCCUGGUUUUUACGCCAAGCUGAUGUUUUCAGCAGCAGUCCGCUGUGGAGAAAAUUCAAGCAGUCUUAGGGGCCCGAAGUUUUCGCUGCUUCUUACCGGAUCGACAGUGGGAAAGAAGGGUGGCAGCGUGCAGUACCUUGUGAAAUGGAGAGACUUUAUCCUCUAUGAACUUGGGAGUAUGAAGAUAUCAGAUAUCAGUGACGAUCUAUCAGGUGAUUUCAUUUCAUUUUGGGUGAAUUUAUUGAAUGUAUUCUUGCAUGAAUUUGAAAAUCUCCCUUUUGUUUGCUGUAGAUAUUUUGAUGGUUCGGGGAAUGUUGGGCCCUUUCUCAGAUGACGAAUGUCACAGUUGAGGCUGCUGAUGGAGCUUGCACUGCUGUGCAGUGAAAAAUAGAAGUGAAAUAGUCACAAAAGGCACAAUGGAGUUUUAUGUGUAAUAGUGCUCCACAUUAUUGUGUCGAGCCCUCUCCGCUGGCAGAAGGAAGUUUUCCUCCUUGAAAUGAAAUAGUCUAUUUCUGACUUUCGAAUCAGAAACUGGACAAAGGGGGUUGGGACCGAAGAAUUUCCCUGUGAAGUUCUUUCCUCCAGGUUGGGAUGCUUCCAUGAACGUACAUGGACAAGGUCCACGGGCUCACUACCUGGUUACCAUCAAGCCUAUGAUUCGCCGUAGUCUAUGUACGUUCCUGCAGGACUCCUCUGGAUCUAUGACAGGAGGGGAUCGUGCUGCCCGGCAGUUUGUCUCUUCCACAGAAAAGGGCAUUGAUUAACCAUGAGCUUACCGCUGAGCACAACGAAAGCAUUGUAGCAUGAAACUAAUUUGUCUGAAUACAAAUCUGCACAAUGGCACAGACGGCUAAUGGAGGUAAAGCAUAGCAUCACCAGCAUUGUAUUCCUGGAAGCAGUGCAAGUUAUAGAUUUAGGUAUCAAUAUUUAUCUAAGCUUUAGCGAAGUCCGGACGCAGUACAUUACUAGUGUGAAAGAUAGAAGAAAAAGCAAUGAUAUCCGUAUAUACCCGGAAAGAGAGGUGAGAGUGGGUGGGAGUAAGUGAAAGCACUUGUACAAGCUAAACAUCUGUGCAACCGGAAAGAGCAGAGAAAAGGCUAAAGCAAUUACACAGGCCAUGCGUGCGAGGUAAUUUAGCAGUGAGACCCAAACAUUCUUGUAAACCAGAAUGCAGCUUCAGCACACAUUUUCUAUUUCUUCAUGUUACGCUGCUGUUGCCGUUUCCCAACGAUAUGAUGAGGCUCUCCGUUAUGCUUCUGCUGGUUUUCCUGUGCAGGUAUGUGCUGCCGUAGCUCAGAGAAAUCUUUGGCCAGGGUAGCCAAGAUGGCAUCACCCACAUCCUCCUCUCCUUCAGGUUCACUUGUAGGUUUGGCAUUCAUGCUUGACAUCUCCUUCAGUACUGUGUAGGUCUUCUCCUAUUGGUUUUUGUCUGCCCAUACCAUUCGCACUGCUCAGUGAUGUCGGCGACAGUCGCCUUCAGCUCACCAUUUUCCAUUUUUUCUUUACUUUUUGGAUACGCUGUGUGUCCUUGAGGUAGCAUUUGAGGCUGACCAGUUCUUCUACCUUUGUUUUGCAAACAUUCUUGUCUAGUGUUCAGUGAUCGAACCCAGUCAACGUUGAAGCACCCUUGUUAUUUCUUUCCGUUUCUUUUUAUUCUUGUACACCGCUGCCUACAACCGUGCAUUUUAAUAGGUUUGCCGAGUUUUCCGCAUCCGUAGGAACGCCACCACCCUUCAAGGAUCGUGUGUUUUAAUAUUAUAGCAGUGUAUUUUGGUAUUUGCUUUGACCAUCAGUCCUUGGCUGAUGCUGGUCAUACCUUCAACAUGUUGACGCGUUUUUCAAGGCAUUCAAUAUACGUAGGCCGCAAGAUUCUAUCUUUUCAUACCGAAUACCGAUGGCUAGUGCUUCCCCACUAGCUGCGCAAGUGUCACAUCUGGCUGCGGCCAACUACCCUUUAA